RNAcentral lists this ribosomal RNA (498 nucleotides) under uncultured bacterium. RNAcentral describes it as "partial 16S ribosomal RNA". It matches the Rfam family "Bacterial small subunit ribosomal RNA", at positions 29 to 523 of the family's 1533-position model. The record is from RNAcentral.
AUUGAACGCUGGCGGCAUGCCUUACACAUGCAAGUCGAACGGUACCGCGGGGCAACCCGGCGACGAGUGGCGAACGGGUGAGUAACGCAUCGGAACGUGCCCAGUAGUGGGGGAUAGCCCGGCGAAAGCCGGAUUAAUACCGCAUACGACCUACGGGUGAAAGGGGGGGAUCGCAAGACCUCUCGCUAUUGGAGCGGCCGAUGUCAGAUUAGGUAGUUGGUGGGGUAAAGGCCCACCAAGCCUUCGAUCUGUAGCUGGUCUGAGAGGACGACCAGCCACACUGGGACUGAGACACGGCCCAGACUCCUACGGGAGGCAGAAGUGGGGAAUUUUGGACAAUGGGCGCAAGCCUGAUCCAGCCAUGCCGCGUGCGGGAAGAAGGCCUUCGGGUUGUAAACCGCUUUUGUCAGGGAAGAAACGCUCUGGGCUAAUACCCCGGGGUAAUGAUGGUACCUGAAGAAUAAGCACCGGCUAACUACGUGCCAGCCGCCGCCGUAG